GGACUCGGCUGAAGCGAGUGGCUGUUUUAUGAAAUGGACAUAUUCCCAUCUCUUCACUUUUCUGAAACAAGCAGACAAGAACAUUACAGUAAUAUGCAAGCUAUGUCCUGGGGAGAAAAAACUAUCGGCCGGUGUUAAUAGCGAGAGCAUAGACGAACACUUCUGAGUGAUCCUUGUUCAUCAUCCAUGGAUAACACCGCAGCAACUCCUGCUAAGCAGCAAAACUUGAUUUUAGUUCAGCAGCACAGAAAGCGUCUGAAGACAGCCCUGCUAAUAAGGAGGAACUACACCAGGAGCAAACAAGACUGGGGCAACAGAAAGAACCACUCAUACAAGACGUUCCCACAAGGUGGAAUUCAACGCUGGAUAUGGUUUCUCAUCUACAAAAGGAUCAAGAGGCUGUUUUUGCUGCUUUAGACAUCCAAAAGAACAAGCUGGUUUGUGUGCUUCUUGGAGGUGAGACAUAUGUCUCAUGUUCAGUGGUUGAACCUGCUUUCUGCCACCUGGUCUCCGAUGACUUAAACUACAAUGUGAAAUUUAAGACCUAUCCCAACGUGCAGCUACACUCAGCCAUCAGUGGCUCAAGAUAGCUACUGUGCUUGACCCACGCUUUAAGGAUUUAAAGUGUCUUGCAAGGGGAGAGCGAGAAGAGGUUUGGACCAGCCUUGAGGCCCUGCUGCAGGAACAGUGCAAAGAUGCCACCACAAACGAGACAGCAAAGACAAAGAGCCUCCUCCUUACUCCAUUUUCUUCAGAGUCUGAUUCAGAUGAGGAAGCCCUAUGUAACAGGGCCCUGAGUUUGUACAGAGCAGAAUACACCAUCAACAAGACAGACUGCUUGCUGCAGUUGUGGUCCUGUUGAGCAAGGACCCACCCACAGCUGUCUGUCCUGGCCCACAAAUAUUUGAUUAGUCCUGCUACUUAUGUUUCACUUGCAGGUCACAUAGUAACAAAAAAAGAGAGCUGCCUUGUGCUCUGAAACUGUGCACAGGCUAAUUUGUCUAAAUAACUGGCUGAAAAAGAGACAGUAAAUAAGCAUGGAGGUAUUGUGAGGUAAUAACAAUGGGUUUGUUAUUUUUUGCACUAAAAUUUUUGAUGAUCACACUGUUUUAGCCUCAUGUACAAAAUGAUGUUGGCCAAGGUUACUCAGGGUUUAUAGGUGAAGCUGCUUAAAUAACCUUUUAUGUUUCUGCAAAAAAAUUUUAGAAGAAAAGCUGCACUCUUUUAUUAUUAUUAUUUAAAGACAAUACCAUAUUGAAAAUGGACUUAAAGUCUGCCCAAUUUUGUCCAGGGCUUAGGGCUGUUCGAUAUAACGAUAUAUAUCAGAUGAUGAUAUGAAACAUCUAUCGUUUCAUUUUACGCUAUCGUUUGUGUUGUGGUGUUGAAAAAUAAACUGUUUACUGCAAUAUUUUUUCAUCGUUUUGAUGGUCACUGUAGUGGCUAUAUUAAUUUCUUAAAGUUCUCUCUUUCUCUUAUAUUUAAUAUAACCACACUGUGGACGGACAAGCACCUGCUGUCGUUAGCAACAAUGACGGUAAAACCAUCAUGUGUCCGCUUGUUUAUUUUCUAUAUAAACCUUUCACAAUAAAGCCCAAGAUCCCGUUGAGACUUUUCAAAAUAAACUGAAUCACGUGAAAGAGAGCAGAGUAUUUACCGAUGAGACG
Molecule: long non-coding RNA, 1664 nt
Organism: Oreochromis aureus
Lineage: Eukaryota; Metazoa; Chordata; Actinopteri; Cichliformes; Cichlidae
Exons: 3
Source: RefSeq, a predicted model, not a curated record